RNAcentral lists this ribosomal RNA (135 nucleotides) under uncultured eukaryote. RNAcentral's name for it is "partial 18S ribosomal RNA". It matches the Rfam family "Eukaryotic small subunit ribosomal RNA", at positions 1299 to 1458 of the family's 1831-position model. The record is from RNAcentral.
UGGUGGAGCGAUUUGUCUGCUUAAUUGCGAUAACGAACGAGACUCUGGCCUACUAACUAGAAGACAGUUUUUCGAGACUGUCAUACUUCUUAGAGGGAUAAGGGGAUUGAAGCCCCAAGAGAUUGAGCAAUAACA